RNAcentral lists this ribosomal RNA (468 nucleotides) under uncultured bacterium. Its description in RNAcentral is "partial 16S ribosomal RNA". It matches the Rfam family "Bacterial small subunit ribosomal RNA", at positions 28 to 507 of the family's 1533-position model. The record is from RNAcentral.
GACGAACGCUGGCGGCGUGCUUAACACAUGCAAGUCGAACGGAAAGGCCCUGCUUUUGUGUGGUGCUCGAGUGGCGAACGGGUGAGUAACACGUGAGUAACCUGCCCUUGACUUUGGGAUAACUUCAGGAAACUGGGGCUAAUACCGGAUAGGAGCUCCUGCUGCAUGGUGGGGGUUGGAAAGUUUCGGCGGUUGGGGAUGGACUCGCGGCUUAUCAGCUUGUUGGUGGGGUAGUGGCUUACCAAGGCUUUGACGGGUAGCCGGCAUGAGAGGGUGAACGGCCACAAUGGGACUGAGAUACGGCCCAGACUCCUACGGGAGGCAGCAGUGGGGAAUAUUGCACAAUGGGCGGAAGCCUGAUGCAGCAACGCCGCGUGCGGGAUGACGGCUUUCGGGUUGUAAACCGCUUUCGCCUGUGACGAAGCGUGAGUGACGGUAAUGGGUAAAGAAGCACCGGCUAACUACGUG